UAGGGAAUCUUCCGCAAUGGGCGAAAGCCUGACGGAGCAACGCCGCGUGAGUGAAGAAGGUCUUCGGAUCGUAAAACUCUGUUAUUAGGGAAGAACAAAUGUGUAAGUAACUAUGCACGUCUUGACGGUACCUAAUCAGAAAGCCACGGCUAACUACGUGCCAGCAGCCGCGGUAAUACGUAGGUGGCAAGCGUUAUCCGGAAUUAUUGGGCGUAAAGCGCGCGUAGGCGGUUUUUUAAGUCUGAUGUGAAAGCCCACGGCUCAACCGUGGAGGGUCAUUGGAAACUGGAAAACUUGAGUGCAGAAGAGGAAAGUGGAAUUCCAUGUGUAGCAGUGAAAUGCGCAGAGAUAUGGAGGAACACCAGUGGCGAAGGCGACUUUCUGGUCUGUAACUGACGCUGAUGUGCGAAAGCGUGGGGAUCAAACAGG
This 429-nucleotide ribosomal RNA is filed under the name Actinomycetes bacterium. RNAcentral describes it as "Actinobacteria bacterium partial 16S ribosomal RNA". It matches the Rfam family "Bacterial small subunit ribosomal RNA", at positions 355 to 776 of the family's 1533-position model. Lineage: Bacteria; Bacillati; Actinomycetota; Actinomycetes. The record is from RNAcentral.